Long non-coding RNA from Perca fluviatilis (European perch), 362 nucleotides. RefSeq lists it as uncharacterized. The transcript has 3 exons. The record is from RefSeq and is a predicted model, not a curated record. NCBI's taxonomy places the organism in Eukaryota, Metazoa, Chordata, Actinopteri, Perciformes, Percidae.
GACGAGUUCCCACAAGUUCUCCCGAGCUCUCCUUCUCCCCCCGCCCCAGGCCCCGGUGCUGAAACACCGCUAUCUGCCUGGCAUUCCUCGGAUACCGAAACCAGCCGGGCUAACACAUCACCUGGCUGCAGUCAGCACAUAUGGGGGCGGAGCUGCGAGCAGGAGGCAGAGAGACGGUUUUUUUUAUCAGCUCGCUGGAGGCGGGGCAGGACACUCUGACGAAACAGAUCCUUCCUCGGCUUUACCUGCAGGAAAUGGUAGAGACCCAAACAGUUUGCGUCCUUGUCACAGAUCCAUAGACGAUCCCAGGGAGUACUUUCGGCUCACCCUGCGCUCCACUUGCACACCUGAGAGGACAAAAG